UACAGAGGUGGCAAGCGUUGUUCGGAAUUACUGGGCGUAAAGGGCGCGUAGGUGGCCUUCUUAGUCAGACGUGAAAUCCCUGGGCUUAACUCAGGAACUGCGUCUGAUACUGGAAGGCUCGAGUUCGGGAGAGGAAUGUGGAAUUCCAGGUGUAGCGGUGAAAUGCGUAGAUAUCUGGAGGAACACCGGUGGCGAAGGCGGCAUUCUGGACCGAAACUGACACUGAGGCGCGAAAGCCAGGGGAGCAAACGGGAUUAGAAAA
Molecule: ribosomal RNA, 262 nt
Filed under: uncultured bacterium
Lineage: Bacteria
Description: partial 16S ribosomal RNA
Rfam family: Bacterial small subunit ribosomal RNA
Source: RNAcentral